GCGGGGGAGGAGUCUGCAAUGUUUCAGAGCUAUGCUGGAAACAGCAUAGCAAGUUGAAAUAAGGCUAGUCCGUUAUCAACUUGAAAAAGUGGCACCGAGUCGGUGCUUUUUUU
This 113-nucleotide small RNA is filed under the name Vector pAAVsc_gLDLR. RNAcentral describes it as "LDLR-gRNA3". The stretch from base 22 to 113 matches the Rfam family "Trans-activating crRNA". From Rfam's summary of the family: RNA-guided Streptococcus pyogenes Cas9 (SpCas9) is a sequence-specific DNA endonuclease, the Trans-activating CRISPR RNA form an hybrid with the crRNA (crRNA/tracrRNA). The RNA hybrid acts as a guide for the endonuclease Cas9. The record is from RNAcentral.